Molecule: small RNA, 76 nt
Filed under: Xanthomonas sp. NCPPB 1560
Lineage: Bacteria; Pseudomonadati; Pseudomonadota; Gammaproteobacteria; Lysobacterales; Lysobacteraceae
Also listed under: 7 other names
Description: sX9 sRNA
Rfam family: Xanthomonas sRNA sX9
Source: RNAcentral
AUGGACCACUUGUAGACUCCGUUUCCUGAGCGCCGUCCACACGCGCCGGACGACUGAUCGCCACGCUUUGUGAGCC